UACGAAGGUCCCGAGCGUUAUUCGGAAUCACUGGGCGUAAAGGGAGCGUAGGCUGUACGGUAAGUCAGAUGUGAAAUCUCAGAGCUCAACUCUGAAACUGCAUCCGAUACUGCCGUACUAGAGUAAUGGAGGGGUAACUGGAAUUCUCGGUGUAGCAGUGAAAUGCGUAGAUAUCGAGAGGAAGACCAACGGCGAAGGCA
RNAcentral lists this ribosomal RNA (200 nucleotides) under uncultured bacterium. Its description in RNAcentral is "partial 16S ribosomal RNA". It matches the Rfam family "Bacterial small subunit ribosomal RNA", at positions 524 to 723 of the family's 1533-position model. The record is from RNAcentral.